AAGAAUUAAAUGGAUGAAAUAUGAAAUUUUAUUAAAAGAAAAAGGGGUGAAAAGAACAAAGUUUUGUCCAUCUUUGUUCAUCAUAGCCUAAAGUUAGAGAAGAGAAAGGAGAGGAGAAAGCUCUUGAAUGUUCGGUCACUUGGGGAAGAAAAUUGAAGGAAAUCCCCAACCAUAGUGGGCUUGGAGCUAUGAGGGAAUUCGGAGUGGCCACCCGUUCUGAAAGUUUGAUUUUCUUCUGGUGAACUGGACAUCCUUUUAUUUACGUUUGAAGUUUUGGGUUUUUAAAUGUAAUAAGGCCGCUUAAUUA
Gossypium arboreum is the source of this 307-nucleotide long non-coding RNA. RefSeq lists it as uncharacterized. The transcript is spliced from 2 exons. The record is from RefSeq and is a predicted model, not a curated record. Lineage: Eukaryota; Viridiplantae; Streptophyta; Magnoliopsida; Malvales; Malvaceae.